Molecule: ribosomal RNA, 492 nt
Filed under: uncultured bacterium
Lineage: Bacteria
Description: partial 16S ribosomal RNA
Rfam family: Bacterial small subunit ribosomal RNA
Source: RNAcentral
AGUGAACGCUGGCGGUAGGCCUAACACAUGCAAGUCGAACGGCAGCACAGUAAGAGCUUGCUCUUACGGGUGGCGAGUGGCGGACGGGUGUGGAAUACAUCGGAAUCUACUUUUUCGUGGGGGAUAACGUAGGGAAACUUACGCUAAUACCGCAUACGACCUACGGGUGAAAGCAGGGGAUCUUCGGACCUUGCGCGAUUGAAUGAGCCGAUGUCGGAUUAGCUAGUUGGCGGGGUAAAGGCCCACCAAGGCGACGAUCCGUAGCUGGUCUGAGAGGAUGAUCAGCCACACUGGAACUGAGACACGGUCCAGACUCCUACGGGAGGCAGCAGUGGGGAACAUUGGACAAUGGGCGCAAGCCUGAUCCAGCCAUACCGCGUGGGUGAAGAAGGCCUUCGGGUUGUAAAGCCCUUUUGUUGGGAAAGAAAAGCAGCAGGUUAAUACCCCGCUGUUCUGACGGUACCCAAAGAAUAAGCACCGGCUAACUUCGUG